Tripterygium wilfordii is the source of this 2051-nucleotide RNA transcript. It is a transcript of the gene named fasciclin-like arabinogalactan protein 17, with no coding region annotated. Lineage: Eukaryota; Viridiplantae; Streptophyta; Magnoliopsida; Celastrales; Celastraceae. The transcript has 3 exons. The record is from RefSeq and is a predicted model, not a curated record.
CUACAUAACCACAACACGAAACCCUCUCUGGCUCUCUCUCUCUAGAACUUACCAUCUCAUUCCGCAUCUGUUUGUUGCAGAAACAUACAUACGAGUGCCUUCGGUUCUUUCUCUAUCUCGCACACACAAUCUGCGUUUCAUUUAUUUAUUUGAUAGCCAUGGAUUUGCCCUUCUAUGGCGCCAGAAAUUUCAUCUUCACAUCGCAUCUCCUUCUCCUAGUCGGAUUGUGUCUUGCAUUGCCGGAAAAUUCUACUCUCAGGUCGUCUUCUCCAGCAGGUUCGGGCCAAAUCAACUCGAACUCGGUCCUGGUCGCUCUACUCGACUCGCAUUAUACGGAGCUUGCAGAGUUAGUGGAGAAGGCUCUCCUCCUGCAUACACUUGAAGAAGCAGUCGGUAAGCACAACAUCACCAUUUUCGCUCCUCGUAAUGAAGCUCUUGAGCGCGAUCUUGAUCCGGAGUUCAAGCGGUUCUUGCUUGAACCUGGAAAUCUCAAGUCUCUGCAAAACCUGCUCAUGUCUCACAUUAUUCCAACACGAAUUGGAUCGGAGAAAUGGCCGGCUCACACCGAGCCAACUCAGCACAGCACUCUUUCCGGGCACUGUCUUAACUUGACGCGACGAAGCUCUGGCGAGAGGACCGUGGAUCUAGCGAAAGUAAUCCAUCUGGAUUCGGUGACCCGACCGGACGGGGUAAUCCACGGGAUCGAGAGGCUAUUAGUCCCCCAGUCAGUCCAGGACGAUUUCAACCGCCGACGGAAUCUCCGCUCCAUCACGGCAGUCAAGCCAGAGGGAGCCCCAGAGGUUGACCCGCGCACCAACCGGCUCAAAAAACUCGCCCCUCCAACCGAGCCCGGUUCACCCCCUGCUUUACCAAUUUUUUAUGCCUUGGCACCGGGUCCCUCUCUUGCUCCUGCUCCGGCUCCAGGACCCGGCGGGCCUCACCACCAUUUCAACGGAAUGGCACAGGUUAAAGACUUCAUCGCCACAUUGUUACAGUACGGCGGGUACAACGAAUUCGCGGACAUAAUGGUUAACCUAACCUCGCUGGCAACCGAGAUGGGGCGGCUGGUUUCGGAGGGCUACGUGUUGACAGUGCUCGCACCGAACGACGAGGCAAUGGCGAAGAUAGGGACGGAGGAAUUGGGGGAGGUCGGAGCGGUGGAGCAAAUGAUGUACUAUCACUUGAUUCCGGAGUACCAAACAGAGGAGAGUAUGUACAAUGCAGUGAGGAGGUUUGGGAAAGUGAGGUAUGAGACCCUAAGAGUGCCUCAUAAGGUGGAAGCACUAGAGGCUGAUGGUUCGGUCAAGUUUGGGGCUGGGGACGUGGCGGCGUAUUUGUUUGACCCCGAUAUCUACACUGAUGGGAGGAUAUCGGUGCAGGGGAUUGAUGGGGUCUUGUUUCCAGCCGAGGAGCUGAAAGAAGAGGUUAAACCGGCGGUCAAAGUGGCUACGGCUGCUAAGGUUACGGCGAGAUCCCGAAGAGGAAAAUUGCUGGAAGUAGCUUGCCAGGUGCUUGGGGCUUUUGGACAGGAUUCUCGAUUCACCACUUGCCAUUGAAUUUUGUCGCCCACUACAAUUGGCUGUUAGCUUCACAAGAAUAGUUCAAGAUGCAACAAAGAAUGAUGCAAUAGCAGGUAUACUGAAUUGUGAGCCCAACACUCUCUUACAUUAAGAGUGGGUUUACCAUUGAUGUCCAUAAUCAUGUCUAUUUUUUAAUUUCACUUGGCCUUUUUGCUUUUAUUGUUUUUUUCUUUCCAAUUUUUUGUCUUUUCUUUCGUGGUUUUGGGGAUGAACCCCGCUGUAGUUAUGACGUAUACUGUAAAGUGUACAAGUGUGUUUUGCCUGUACUUAUUGAAUAAUAGCCUGGUUGAUGGUGGGGCUGAGGGGCACUGAGCCAUGUGUAAUCUGCGGUAGAAGGUGCUGGAUAUGUUCGACUUGCACAUUGUCUUCUGCCUUGGAAUAAAAGCAUCAACGGUAGAAUGUGGAAACACAAUAAAAUAUUUUUUUUUGAUGUGAGUGGAUAUGAAGUAAAGAAUCAUGUUGGUUGCUCCA